RNAcentral lists this ribosomal RNA (273 nucleotides) under Clostridioides difficile. RNAcentral describes it as "partial 23S ribosomal RNA". It matches the Rfam family "Bacterial large subunit ribosomal RNA", at positions 1290 to 1568 of the family's 2925-position model. The record is from RNAcentral. Lineage: Bacteria; Bacillati; Bacillota; Clostridia; Peptostreptococcales; Peptostreptococcaceae.
GAGAAUGUUGGCAUGAGUAGCGAGAUGUGGGUGAGAAUCCCACAGGCCGUAAACCCAAGGUUUCCAGGGGAAGGUUCGUCCGCCCUGGGGUAGUCGGGACCUAAGCUGAGGCCGAAAGGCGUAGGGGAUGGACAACAGGUUGAUAUUCCUGUACUACCGAUAACCGUUUGAGGGAAGGAAUUGAACAGUAGGCUAUGCUGAGCACCCUGUUGGUUAUGCUUGCCCAAGCAUCGGGUCAGGACCAGUGGGGAAGACCGCGUUGGGAAUGCGGGG